Molecule: small nuclear RNA, 101 nt
Filed under: Mustela putorius furo (domestic ferret)
Lineage: Eukaryota; Metazoa; Chordata; Mammalia; Carnivora; Mustelidae
Source: RNAcentral
GUACUCACUUUGGCAGCACAUGUGUAAAAACUGGAAGGAUACAGAGAUUAGCAUGACUUUUCAAGGACAACAUGCAAAUUCAUGAAGCAUUUAAAAAAUAC